Molecule: non-coding RNA, 180 nt
Filed under: Salmo salar (Atlantic salmon)
Lineage: Eukaryota; Metazoa; Chordata; Actinopteri; Salmoniformes; Salmonidae
Description: Eukaryotic large subunit ribosomal RNA
Rfam family: Eukaryotic large subunit ribosomal RNA
Source: Rfam by way of RNAcentral
AAGCCUUUUGGACCUAGACUUGGCACUCCGGUACCGCUUGCUGUGCGGUAGCAGAGAAAACAGUCUAUGACUAGGGUGGCUGGAGUCUUUGUUGUUUGGGAAUGCAGCCCAAAGGGCGUGGUAAACUCCAUCUAAGGCUAAAUACCGGCACAAGACCAAUAGUAGACAAGUACCGUAAGG